Molecule: small RNA, 82 nt
Filed under: Shimwellia blattae DSM 4481 = NBRC 105725
Lineage: Bacteria; Pseudomonadati; Pseudomonadota; Gammaproteobacteria; Enterobacterales; Enterobacteriaceae
Description: Escherichia blattae DSM 4481 sroB RNA
Rfam family: sroB RNA
Source: Rfam by way of RNAcentral
AAUCCGGUCGCUACGGCGGCCGGUAUAACAACAAAAUGAAAUUCCUCUUUGACAGGCCAGUAGCGAUACUGGCCUCUUUUUU